AACAAGGCGUACCUGCGGACCUGCGGAAGGAUCAUUAAUAAAUGUUACUUCGGUAACUUAAUUAAUCCCUAACACCUGUGCAUCUUGUCGCUUCGGCGUCAUUUUAUAAACAUCAGUGUAAUGAAUGUAACGUAUUAUAACAAAUACAACUUUCAGCAACGGAUCU
RNAcentral lists this unclassified non-coding RNA (166 nucleotides) under soil metagenome. Its description in RNAcentral is "partial contains 5.8S ribosomal RNA, internal transcribed spacer 2, and large subunit ribosomal RNA". The record is from RNAcentral.